RNAcentral lists this ribosomal RNA (468 nucleotides) under uncultured bacterium. RNAcentral describes it as "partial 16S ribosomal RNA". It matches the Rfam family "Bacterial small subunit ribosomal RNA", at positions 28 to 507 of the family's 1533-position model. The record is from RNAcentral.
GACGAACGCUGGCGGCGUGCUUAACACAUGCAAGUCGAACGGAAAGGCCCUGCUUUUGUGGGGUGCUCGAGUGGCGAACGGGUGAGUAACACGUGAGUAACCUGCCCUUGACUUUGGGAUAACUUCAGGAAACUGGGGCUAAUACCGGAUAGGAGCUCCUGCUGCAUGGUGGGGGUUGGAAAGUUUCGGCGGUUGGGGAUGGACUCGCGGCUUAUCAGCUUGUUGGUGGGGUAGUGGCUUACCAAGGCUUUGACGGGUAGCCGGCCUGGGAGGGUGACCGGCCACAUUGGGACUGCGAUACGGCCCAGACUCCUACGGGAGGCAGCAGUGGGGAAUAUUGCACAAUGGGAGGAAGCCUGAUGAAGAAACGCCGCGUGCGGGAUGACGGCCUUCGGGUUGUAAACCGCUUUCGCCUGUGACGAAGCGUGAGUGACGGUAAUGGGUAAAGAAGCACCGGCUAACUACGUG